GUCCACAGUCAGAAAAGGUACUCUGAUUUACCAUAAUUGAUAUAUAUAUAUCAUCCAAAUAAAUAACUUUAUUAAGUUUAAGGUUCACCCCGCAAGAUGGACUGAAGUUGCAAAUAUUAAGAGUGUGGGGUUUCAUUUUUGGUUCAAAAUUUAUUUAGAAAUUAAAAUCGAAUUCAAAUUUUGGUAUAACUUUAGUUUCAAUUUUGGUUUGAUUUUUCAAUAUUGUGAUUUUAAUUCCUAUUUAACCACAAGAAACA
This 257-nucleotide unclassified non-coding RNA is filed under the name Hevea brasiliensis (rubber tree). The record is from RNAcentral. Lineage: Eukaryota; Viridiplantae; Streptophyta; Magnoliopsida; Malpighiales; Euphorbiaceae.